CCUCAGCUGGCCCUGGGAUGAGGACUCAGGAGAUUCAGGGUCCUGCCUGGGGUGGGGUCCAGGUCUGGCCAAGUCUCCCUCACCUCAGGCCCAGGAAGUAGCUUUCCAGCUGGCUCAGAACUGGGUCCGAACCAACUUUGAGGUCUACUCCAGAGAUUCGGCCAUGUAUGAGAAGGUGAGCUGCUCCUGAGCCCAGACCCUCCUGGGGCUCCUCCCCCUGGGGAGCAGGGGAGGGCGGGGAUCGCCAGGCUUUGCAAAGCCCAGGGACAGUGGUGACGCCCGGUGGUCAUUCUCAGGCACUGCAGGGGCGGGAGCUGCAGGCCAGAGCCCCUUCUCCCAAAGAGGCUCACAUGUGUUGCUCCCCCUGGAGGGCUGGGAUGGGGAGCCUGGGGGCCUUGCCGACCUUACAGCCUGUCCUGUUCUCAGUAUGACAUCAGCAAUGGUGGUCAGCCAGGUGGUGGAGGGGAGUACGAGGUUCAGGUGAGUGGCCGACACCCUACAGGGAACUACGGGGCUGGUUGUCCCCACAGCAGGCCAUGACUCCCCCCCACCCCCCGCCCCCCCACCGCCAUCUGGGCCUCUGAUUCCUCCCAUUAUGUGGGUCCACUGGGAGGAGGCCAACUGGAGCUCCUUUGUACCCCUGGGGCUAGGCAGUUCCAGGGCGUGUGGGUGGGGAUCUCACAGCCUCUGAAGGACCCCACUGGUCCUGUCUCUACAGGAGGGCUUUGGCUGGACCAAUGGAGUGGUCCUGAUGCUCCUGGAGCGCUAUGGUGACCGGCUGAGCUCCGGCAGCCAGACAAGUUUUCCUGCAGCUCCACUGCCUUACAGCUGCCCUUCUGCUCAGCCUCCUGCUCGGCCUCCUGCCACAGUGAUGGGCCUCCUUGCCCCGUGGGCCUCAUUAAACUUCUGUCCCUGUGUCAUCUCAGGCCUGAGCCAUCCGUCCUCCAGCACAAGCACCGAGCACCGCUGAGCCUCCUCAUGGGCCCCUGCCUCACGUUGCACCUGGGACAGAAUCUGGAGCCACUGUAUCUGAAACAUGAAAGGAAAAGGUAAUUCUCUGCAGUGGUGAUCUUGGGGCCAGCGGAGCAACUGGCAUCUGGUCCCAGAUGUGUGACCUAAUUAUGCCCCUGACACUCAUGUGCCUGGAGCCCCACAGCAAC
Molecule: long non-coding RNA, 1160 nt
Filed under: Canis lupus familiaris (dog)
Lineage: Eukaryota; Metazoa; Chordata; Mammalia; Carnivora; Canidae
Description: lncRNA (ENSCAFG00000056001.1)
Source: RNAcentral